RNAcentral lists this ribosomal RNA (1003 nucleotides) under Candidatus Woesebacteria bacterium. RNAcentral describes it as "partial 23S ribosomal RNA". It matches the Rfam family "Bacterial large subunit ribosomal RNA", at positions 2375 to 2814 of the family's 2925-position model. Lineage: Bacteria; Candidatus Woeseibacteriota. The record is from RNAcentral.
GCAAGGGGGACAUCCCGAGCAGAUGCGAAAGCAGAGCAUAGUGAACCGAUGGUACGCCUUAGAUGCGGCCAGAGAUUAACGGAUAUAAGUUACCCUGGGGAUAACAGGCUAGUUCCGCCCAAGCGUCCUUAGCGACGGCGGAGUUCGGCACCUCGAUGUCGGCUCAACAUAGCGCGGGGGUGGAGAAGCUCCCAAGCGUAUGGCUGUUCGCCAUUUAAAAUGUUACGCGAGCUGGGUUCAAACCGUUCAGCGAUUGAACGGAACCGUUCGAUAAUUGAACGGUUUGAACCCACGAGGAAUUGUUAGGUGCGUGGAGACGCACUGUGCGAAGACAUACUUACGGCGGUCGCGCGCAGGAAUGCGUGCGAAGAAAUCAACUUAUAUCGGUAGAACCCGAGCUCGUUGUGUACGAGCGGGCAAUACCGAGGGAAGUCAAAAUUGUAAUCUUCAUCAAGACGAUGUGUCUUGAUGGAAAAGGAGGAAAAUAUGCAGGCAUCUCUGUAUGCUUCGUACUACCUCUCGAAAUAUGGUGUGCCGCAAGACCCGAACUGGAUGGUGGCGUUUUUGAUCAUCAACCUUUUCCUGCUAUUGCCGUAUAUCUACUUCGCGAGCGAGUUCAUUCGGUCGCUGUUCAAGCGAUGACAACCUCAAGGCCUUUGUAGCCUUGGGGGUCUUGAUGAAGAUUACAAUUGAGACACCCGUAGAGACUGAAUGUUGAUCAUCGAGAACCGAUGAAGUUACAGUCCGAUCCCCGCAGUAAUGCGGGAAAACCCAGACACUCACUGUGAGUAUCUGGGUAAACUAGAUGCGUGAGACAGGUUGGUCUCCUAUCUACUACAGGCGUUGAUUCUUGAGGAGGGUCGUCCCUAGUACGAGAGGACCGGGAUGAACUGACCUCUGGUCUACCAGCUGUCCUGCCAAGGGCACCGCUGGGUAGCUAUGUCGGGUCGUGAUAACCGCUGAAAGCAUAUAAGCGGGAAACAUGCUCCAAGAUUAGGAAUCG